AUGUUGCUAAGAAACCUCCCAUACAACUCCAUAAUCUGAAGCAAAGGAGGGAAUUAAGAAUCCUGCAAAAUUGGUUCGCAAGUUUAGGAGAAACCAAUGGCUGUUUGGAAGAGAAGAAGAGUGUGGUGUGGUGUAGCAUAGCGGAAAGAAAGAUGCCUAUCUUGCAAUGGCAGUUUUGGUUUUACUUUAGAAAACUUGACCAGCAACCCAAGGCUGCCAUUUUCCAGCACCCACUCUCAUUGCUUACGCCUUCUCUGCACACCCACCUACCCUUUCUCAGGCACCAACCCAUAUUAAGUUACCUAUUUCUAAGCCUCUGCCUUUCCACUUUUUCUUCGUCUCUUACUCCUGGCUUGGAUCUUAGAGAUUUUGUCAGUUUGUAAUAAGUGUUGAUAACAUAACAACAGAGGCAAGAUUCUUGAGAAAGUGAUUUUUUAGGACAUAUAUGGAUUAGGGAACAACAAUAGGGCCACACAACGCACGAGCGUAGGCCCCCAACACAAAGGCAAAGGCCAUUUCAAUUCUUGCCGACAACCAUGUGCCUUCCUUUCUACAUCCCUUCUUCUAACUCUCACCUCCCAUAUGCCUUUCCAUCUCACACUCUCUUUAUAAUCAUAUGUU
This is a long non-coding RNA of Cucurbita moschata (crookneck pumpkin), 621 nucleotides long. RefSeq lists it as uncharacterized. The record is from RefSeq and is a predicted model, not a curated record. The transcript is spliced from 2 exons. Lineage: Eukaryota; Viridiplantae; Streptophyta; Magnoliopsida; Cucurbitales; Cucurbitaceae.